This is a microRNA precursor of Gallus gallus (chicken), 110 nucleotides long. The record is from Ensembl. NCBI's taxonomy places the organism in Eukaryota, Metazoa, Chordata, Aves, Galliformes, Phasianidae.
AAAAGAACAUUUCCGCUGCUGCUAUUUUAGUAGUUGAUAGGUGUGUUUGGACUUAUUUUAAAUGCAAGCACACACAGGUACUGAUACCUAGCAGUAGCUAUAAUCUUGGA